UACGAAGGGGGGCUAGCGUUGCUCGGAUUGACUGGGCGUAAAGGGCGCGUAGGCGGUUCGUACAGUCAGACGUGAAAUUCCUGGGCUCAACCUGGGGGCUGCGUUUGAUACGUGCGGACUUGAGUGCGGAAGAGGGGUCGUGGAAUUCCCAGUGUAGAGGUGAAAAUUCGUAGAUAUUGGGAAGAACACCGGUGGCGAAGGCGGCGACCUGGUCCGAUACUGACGCUGAGGCGCGAAAGCGUGGGGAGCAAACAGG
This 256-nucleotide ribosomal RNA is filed under the name uncultured bacterium. Its description in RNAcentral is "partial 16S ribosomal RNA". It matches the Rfam family "Bacterial small subunit ribosomal RNA", at positions 524 to 776 of the family's 1533-position model. The record is from RNAcentral.